This 549-nucleotide transfer RNA is filed under the name uncultured Synechococcus sp. RNAcentral's name for it is "16S-23S ribosomal RNA intergenic spacer". The stretch from base 210 to 282 matches the Rfam family "tRNA". The record is from RNAcentral. Lineage: Bacteria; Bacillati; Cyanobacteriota; Cyanophyceae; Synechococcales; Synechococcaceae.
CAGGGAGACAACAAAAUGUAAAUAUUAAUUUUGUCACCUUAGGUCGAUCGGUAUCUCAGAUUCUUAUUUUUUAAGAAUUUCAGUUUCUAAGUUUUUUCUAGGUCACACCCAUCACUUUUUCCUGGGCCAUUAGCUCAGGUGGUUAGAGCGCACCCCUGAUAAGGGUGAGGUCCCUGGUUCAAGUCCAGGAUGGCCCAUAUCUCUAUGUUGGGGGUAUAGCUCAGUUGGUAGAGCGCCUGCUUUGCAAGCAGGAUGUCAGCGGUUCGAGUCCGCUUACCUCCACUGAAUACCACCUCUUACAUAUAUUUAGAGAGGGAAAUUGUUUUGAGUCGUGUCCUAAUUUGCUCUGAGCGAAUCUAGCUUCCUAUUUUAUUCAAUAAAUAAGAUGCUGGACUCAUUGAAUUUUUUCCAUUGUUUUCAGAGAACCUUGACAACUGCAUAGAUUAUUUUUGAAGACAAUAAGCAUCUUUAAUGAUGCAGAUUUAUUAUUUGUGCGAAUGCAUUAAAUAACAAUUCUAUUAAGCUGAUGCUUCAAUUAUUGAAGUUAUU